RNAcentral lists this long non-coding RNA (607 nucleotides) under Cyanistes caeruleus (blue tit). Its description in RNAcentral is "lncRNA (ENSCCEG00000008469.1)". The record is from RNAcentral. Lineage: Eukaryota; Metazoa; Chordata; Aves; Passeriformes; Paridae.
CCAAAAAUACCUCAUGCAAAACAAAAAAAAAACCAACCAAACAAAAAAAAGUGCCUAGAAUAUUUAACAAUUCAUUGUGCAAUUAGAAAUUUGCUGGUCAUCGUCCUGCCCUGGGACAGAUUUCAGUAGUGAAGAUGUUUUUUAAAGUCAUUCUGUCAAAUCAUUUGAAUUAGUUUAAAGGGCAGUUCAUACAAUUUCAGAAAAUACUGUUUGUGUCUUUUCCCACUGUUCCCAGAUUUUGAAAAGUUACUGCUUAUGUCUGAAGGCAAGAAUUGAAAGUGCUGUGGGAGAGCAAGCAGCUCCCUGCACACAUCCACAGCACCGGUUCUGCAUGAGAAACAGCGCUGAACUUCGUCGGGAGAGUAUUUUGAGCAGGUCCAGUUGAUAAGCACUCCAGAAUCAAUAUUUCAUGUUAUUCUACUAUACAAAUAUAACACUGAUAGCGGCAGCACUACAAGAGGCUGGAAAGAAGUCAAUGUCACAGGCAGUUGGCAUUCAGGCUGCAUGUCCAGCAGGCAGCUCCUGCAGCUCUGGCUCUGCUCUGGCCAGGGCAGCGUGGGAUGGAGAGCCAACACCAGCCAUGCUCACUGCAGCUCUGGGACACUAA